CAUGUGCCUGUAGUCCCAGCUACUUAGGAUCACUUGAGCCCAGGAGUUUGAGGCUGUGUUGAACCAUGAUUUUCUCACUGCUCUCCAGACUGGGGAUGGCGGAGCGAGACCUUGACACCACACACACACACACUCAUGCACAUGCUGUAGGCAGGGAGGAGGUGUUAGUGAGAGCCAGAACUCUGCAUUUAAUAUGUACCCAAAGCCAUAUAUUUUUUAAACAUGGGGUAGAGAACAACUGCUUUUUAAAGUGGUAUAAACUCAGACAAAUUUCUAGAACAAAUAGCGUAAUUGAAUUCAGUGGUUCUUUGCCUUACAUAGCUACAUCCUAACAACAUUGUCAAAAACCUGGGUCCCAUCCUGACAGAAACAAAAAACCCAUUUAUGUUGAUAGUGACAGAUGAUAGUGUACAGAUAUGCUUAUAGUUUGAUUAGCUCAAAAGAAAACAAUAUUGUGGAAUGGAAAUUUUUCAUAUGAAGUUUUUAAUGAUUAGGUACAUUUUAAAGGUAAAUCCUUUUAGAUAAGAUAAUGGAUUUUGAAAUAAAUACAUUCGUUGCUUUUUUCUCUUUAGUUUAGAAACUAAGUAUUUCUUCAUACUCCUGAGUUUCAGAUUUUCUUUGUUGCACAUUCUAAUUUGAGUUAGCCAUUUUUGGCUUUGGCUCUAUAUUUCCUUAGAAUUAUCAAUAUCCAAUUUAAUUCCCACCUCCAAACUUUAGAAAGUGAAAGAAAAGACUAAAAUAAGAUCUACUUCAUUUUCUAUAUAUUCAGAUUUAAUGGAGCAAGACAUUACAGUGUUACAGUGCAUCACAGUCCAGCAUAUAUAAAUGAUAUCUUCCAGUGGGCUUUUUGUAAGGUCAUGGUUUAACAUGUGAUCUAUCAUGGAGAAUUUUCUGUAUGUGCUUGAGAAGAAUGUAUAUUCUGCUGUUGAAAUAUGUUCUGUAUAUGUCUGUUAGGUCCAUUUCGUCUGUACUGGUGUUGAAGUCCACUCUUUCUUUGUUGAUUUUCUGUCUGGUUAUUCUAUCCAUUACUAAAAGUGGAGUAUUGCAGUUUCCUGCUAUUACUGCGUUGCUAUUUCUCAUUUUAGUUCUGCCAAUAUUUGUUUUAUAUAUUUAGGUGCUCUGAUGUUGGAUGCAUAGAUAUCUAUAAUUGUUAUAGUUUGCUGGUGGGUUGACCCUUUCAUCAUUACAUUUUCUUCUUUGUCUCUUGUGACGGUUUUCUACUUACAGUCCAUUUUGUCGGGUAUAAAAUAACCCACUCUGCUUUCUUUUGGCUAUCAUAUGCAUGGAAUAUCUUUUUUCAUUUCUUUACUUUUACCCCGUGUGUGUCCUUAAAUGUUAAGUAAGUCACUUGUAGAAAUCAUAUAUAUUGUUUUUUUUCUUUCAGCUACCCUAUGUCUUUUGAUCCAUGAGUUUAAUUCAUUUACAUUUAAACAUUUAAAGUGAUUAUUGGUAGGGAAGAAUUUACUAUUGCCAUUUAGCUUAUUGUUUCUAGCUGUCUUGUGGUAAGUUCUUCGGUGCUUUUCUUCCUGUCUUGUCUUUUUUUUUUUUAAUUGGGACAGAGUCUCACUCUUGUCGCCCAGG
This is a long non-coding RNA of Sapajus apella (tufted capuchin), 1581 nucleotides long. RefSeq lists it as uncharacterized. The transcript has 3 exons. NCBI's taxonomy places the organism in Eukaryota, Metazoa, Chordata, Mammalia, Primates, Cebidae. The record is from RefSeq and is a predicted model, not a curated record.